RNAcentral lists this ribosomal RNA (2158 nucleotides) under Escherichia coli. Its description in RNAcentral is "partial 23S ribosomal RNA". It matches the Rfam family "Bacterial large subunit ribosomal RNA", at positions 717 to 2851 of the family's 2925-position model. The record is from RNAcentral. Lineage: Bacteria; Pseudomonadati; Pseudomonadota; Gammaproteobacteria; Enterobacterales; Enterobacteriaceae.
GAAACCCGGUGAUCUAGCCAUGGGCAGGUUGAAGGUUGGGUAACACUAACUGGAGGACCGAACCGACUAAUGUUGAAAAAUUAGCGGAUGACUUGUGGCUGGGGGUGAAAGGCCAAUCAAACCGGGAGAUAGCUGGUUCUCCCCGAAAGCUAUUUAGGUAGCGCCUCGUGAAUUCAUCUCCGGGGGUAGAGCACUGUUUCGGCAAGGGGGUCAUCCCGACUUACCAACCCGAUGCAAACUGCGAAUACCGGAGAAUGUUAUCACGGGAGACACACGGCGGGUGCUAACGUCCGUCGUGAAGAGGGAAACAACCCAGACCGCCAGCUAAGGUCCCAAAGUCAUGGUUAAGUGGGAAACGAUGUGGGAAGGCCCAGACAGCCAGGAUGUUGGCUUAGAAGCAGCCAUCAUUUAAAGAAAGCGUAAUAGCUCACUGGUCGAGUCGGCCUGCGCGGAAGAUGUAACGGGGCUAAACCAUGCACCGAAGCUGCGGCAGCGACACUAUGUGUUGUUGGGUAGGGGAGCGUUCUGUAAGCCUGUGAAGGUGGCCUGUGAGGGUUGCUGGAGGUAUCAGAAGUGCGAAUGCUGACAUAAGUAACGAUAAAGCGGGUGAAAAGCCCGCUCGCCGGAAGACCAAGGGUUCCUGUCCAACGUUAAUCGGGGCAGGGUGAGUCGACCCCUAAGGCGAGGCCGAAAGGCGUAGUCGAUGGGAAACAGGUUAAUAUUCCUGUACUUGGUGUUACUGCGAAGGGGGGACGGAGAAGGCUAUGUUGGCCGGGCGACGGUUGUCCCGGUUUAAGCGUGUAGGCUGGUUUUCCAGGCAAAUCCGGAAAACCAAGGCUGAGGCGUGAUGACGAGGCACUACGGUGCUGAAGCGACAAAUGCCCUGCUUCCAGGAAAAGCCUCUAAGCAUCAGGUAACAUCAAAUCGUACCCCAAACCGACACAGGUGGUCAGGUAGAGAAUACCAAGGCGCUUGAGAGAACUCGGGUGAAGGAACUAGGCAAAAUGGUGCCGUAACUUCGGGAGAAGGCACGCUGAUAUGUAGGUGAAGCGACUUGCUCGUGGAGCUGAAAUCAGUCGAAGAUACCAGCUGGCUGCAACUGUUUAUUAAAAACACAGCACUGUGCAAACACGAAAGUGGACGUAUACGGUGUGACGCCUGCCCGGUGCCGGAAGGUUAAUUGAUGGGGUUAGCGGCAACGCGAAGCUCUUGAUCGAAGCCCCGGUAAACGGCGGCCGUAACUAUAACGGUCCUAAGGUAGCGAAAUUCCUUGUCGGGUAAGUUCCGACCUGCACGAAUGGCGUAAUGAUGGCCAGGCUGUCUCCACCCGAGACUCAGUGAAAUUGAACUCGCUGUGAAGAUGCAGUGUACCCGCGGCAAGACGGAAAGACCCCGUGAACCUUUACUAUAGCUUGACACUGAACAUUGAGCCUUGAUGUGUAGGAUAGGUGGGAGGCUUUGAAGUGUGGACGCCAGUCUGCAUGGAGCCGACCUUGAAAUACCACCCUUUAAUGUUUGAUGUUCUAACGUUGGCCCGUAAUCCGGGUUGCGGACAGUGUCUGGUGGGUAGUUUGACUGGGGCGGUCUCCUCCUAAAGAGUAACGGAGGAGCACGAAGGUUGGCUAAUCCUGGUCGGACAUCAGGAGGUUAGUGCAAUGGCAUAAGCCAGCUUGACUGCGAGCGUGACGGCGCGAGCAGGUGCGAAAGCAGGUCAUAGUGAUCCGGUGGUUCUGAAUGGAAGGGCCAUCGCUCAACGGAUAAAAGGUACUCCGGGGAUAACAGGCUGAUACCGCCCAAGAGUUCAUAUCGACGGCGGUGUUUGGCACCUCGAUGUCGGCUCAUCACAUCCUGGGGCUGAAGUAGGUCCCAAGGGUAUGGCUGUUCGCCAUUUAAAGUGGUACGCGAGCUGGGUUUAGAACGUCGUGAGACAGUUCGGUCCCUAUCUGCCGUGGGCGCUGGAGAACUGAGGGGGGCUGCUCCUAGUACGAGAGGACCGGAGUGGACGCAUCACUGGUGUUCGGGUUGUCAUGCCAAUGGCACUGCCCGGUAGCUAAAUGCGGAAGAGAUAAGUGCUGAAAGCAUCUAAGCACGAAACUUGCCCCGAGAUGAGUUCUCCCUGACUCCUUGAGGGUCCUGAAGGAACGUUGAAGACGACGAC